CACAUGGCUUUUGUUUGAAAGAUGGCUUUGGCUAUCACUCUGGGAUGGACCUGCGGUGCAUUAGCUAGUUGGUAAGGUAACGGCUUACCAAGGCGAUGAUGCAUAGCCGAGUUGAGAGACUGAUCGGCCACAAUGGAACUGAGACACGGUCCAUACUCCUACGGGAGGCAGCAGUAGGGAAUCUUCCACAAUGGGCGCAAGCCUGAUGGAGCAACACCGCGUGAGUGAAGAAGGGUUUCGGCUCGUAAAGCUCUGUUGUUGGAGAAGAACGUGCGUGAGAUUAACUGUUCACGCAGUGACGGUAUCCAACCAGAAAGUCACGGCUAACUACGUGCCAGCAGCCGCGGUAAUACGUAGGUGGCAAGCGUUAUCCGGAUUUAUUGGGCGUAAAGCGAGCGCAGGCGGUUGCUUAGGUCUGAUGUGAAA
This 426-nucleotide ribosomal RNA is filed under the name uncultured bacterium. RNAcentral describes it as "bacterial SSU rRNA". It matches the Rfam family "Bacterial small subunit ribosomal RNA", at positions 187 to 599 of the family's 1533-position model. The record is from RNAcentral.